Molecule: ribosomal RNA, 342 nt
Filed under: uncultured bacterium
Lineage: Bacteria
Description: bacterial SSU rRNA
Rfam family: Bacterial small subunit ribosomal RNA
Source: RNAcentral
AACGAACGCUGGCGGCAGGCCUAACACAUGCAAGUCGAGCGAGGUAGCAAUACCUAGCGGCGGACGGGUUAGUAACGCGUGGGAACGUGCCCAAAGGUACGGAAUAGCCUCGGGAAACUGAGAGUAAUACCGUAUGUGCCCUUCGGGGGAAAGAUUUAUCGCCUUUGGAUCGGCCCGCGUUGGAUUAGGUAGUUGGUGGGGUAAUGGCCUACCAAGCCGACGAUCCAUAGCUGGUUUGAGAGGAUGAUCAGCAACACUGGGACUGGAGACGACCGGCCCAGACCUCCGUACGGGGAGGCAGCAGGUGGGGAAUCUUAGAACAAGGUACGGGGGAAACCCUGA